RNAcentral lists this ribosomal RNA (253 nucleotides) under uncultured bacterium. RNAcentral's name for it is "partial 16S ribosomal RNA". It matches the Rfam family "Bacterial small subunit ribosomal RNA", at positions 524 to 776 of the family's 1533-position model. The record is from RNAcentral.
UACGUAGGGCGCAAGCGUUGUCCGGAAUUAUUGGGCGUAAAGAGCUCGUAGGCGGUUUGUCGCGUCUGCUGUGUAAACCUAAGGCUCAACCUUGGGCUUGCAGUGGGUACGGGCAGACUAGAGUGCGGUAGGGGUGACUGGAAUUCCUGGUGUAGCGGUGGAAUGCGCAGAUAUCAGGAGGAACACCGAUGGCGAAGGCAGGUCACUGGGCCGCAACUGACGCUGAGGAGCGAAAGCAUGGGGAGCGAACAGG